This 45-nucleotide non-coding RNA is filed under the name Bradyrhizobium diazoefficiens USDA 110. The record is from RNAcentral. Lineage: Bacteria; Pseudomonadati; Pseudomonadota; Alphaproteobacteria; Hyphomicrobiales; Nitrobacteraceae.
CGGGGAUGUGCGAUCUCCCCGAGAGGCGCCAUGCCCAAGAAUCGC